Molecule: ribosomal RNA, 802 nt
Filed under: uncultured bacterium
Lineage: Bacteria
Description: bacterial SSU rRNA
Rfam family: Bacterial small subunit ribosomal RNA
Source: RNAcentral
GCCGGAAUUCGGUGGCGAAGCGGCCCCUGGACAAGACUGACGCUCAGGUGCGAAAGCGUGGGGAGCAAACAGCCAUUAGAUACCCUGGUAGUCCACGCCGUAAACGAUGUCGACUUGGAGGUUGUGCCCUUGAGGCGUGGCUUCCGGAGCUAACGCGUUAAGUCGACCGCCUGGGGAGUACGGCCGCAAGGUUAAAACUCAAAUGAAUUGACGGGGGCCCGCACAAGCGGUGGAGCAUGUGGUUUAAUUCGAUGCAACGCGAAGAACCUUACCUACUCUUGACAUCCAGAGAACUUUCCAGAGAUGGAUUGGUGCCUUCGGGAACUCUGAGACAGGUGCUGCAUGGCUGUCGUCGGCUUGUGUUGUGAAAUGUUGGGUUAAGUCCCGCAACGAGCGCAACCCUUAUCCUUUGUUGCCAGCGGUCCGGCCGGGAACUCAAAGGAGACUGCCAGUGAUAAACUGGAGGAAGGUGGGGAUGACGUCAAGUCAUCAUGGCCCUUACGAGUAGGGCUACACACGUGCUACAAUGGCGCAUACAAAGAGAAGCGACCUCGCGAGAGCAAGCGGACCUCAUAAAGUGCGUCGUAGUCCGGAUCGCAGUCUGCAACUCGACUGCGUGAAGUCGGAAUCGCUAGUAAUCGUGAAUCAGAAUGUCACGGUGAAUACGUUCCCGGGCCCUUGUACACACCGCCCGUCACACCAUGGGAGUGGGUUGCUCCAGAAGUAGCUAGUCUAACCCGCAAGGGGGACGGGUUACCACGGAGUGAUUCAUGACUGGGGGUGAAGUCGUAACAAGUAACCA